CGGACCAAGGAGUCCAACAUGUGCGCGAGUCUAAGGGUGGUCUAAACCCGGAGGCGAAAUGAAAGUGAGCCCCUUGUGAGGGGGCAGGCCGAUCCCCUGUUUCUGGCCCUGGCUGGUUCUGGUGCGCUGUGAGUCAAUUUCUGGCGUGUCUGGGCCGGCUGUGGUGGCUGGGGCAGCUCUGCUGCUGCUGCUGCAGCUCCUUCGGGGGCGGGCGGUGGCGGCGGAGUUUUUUUGGGGCGCAGGCCGAGGACUUGCCAUUGUGCGGCGCGGGCAACGGGUUGGCUUCGAGAGGAGCCUUCCUUAUCCCGAUGUCCGCCGGCAAGUACCUGAGAGCGCAGCCGUUGGGACCCGAAAGAUGGUGAACUAUGCCUGGCCAGGACGAAGCCAGAGGAAACUCUGGUGGAGGUCCGAAGCAGUUCUGACGUGCAAAUCGAUUGUCAGAGCUGGGUAUAGGGGCGAAAGACUAAUCGAACCAUCUAGUAGCUGGUUCCCUCCGAAGUUUCCCUCAGGAUAGCUGGCGUUGGAUGGAAUGAGUUUCAUCCGGUAAAGCGAAUGAUUAGAGGCCUUGGUGGUGCAAUGCCGUCAACCUAUUCUCAAACUUUAAAUGGGUGAGACGUAGAGCUUGCUUGAGAGAAUGAUGUGAAGCUUUAUGAUGAAUCUGAAUGCCUAGUGGGCCACU
RNAcentral lists this ribosomal RNA (679 nucleotides) under Macrobrachium placidulum. RNAcentral's name for it is "eukaryotic LSU rRNA". It matches the Rfam family "Eukaryotic large subunit ribosomal RNA", at positions 662 to 1135 of the family's 3401-position model. The record is from RNAcentral. Lineage: Eukaryota; Metazoa; Arthropoda; Malacostraca; Decapoda; Palaemonidae.